Non-coding RNA from Momordica charantia (bitter melon), 1189 nucleotides. NCBI's taxonomy places the organism in Eukaryota, Viridiplantae, Streptophyta, Magnoliopsida, Cucurbitales, Cucurbitaceae. The record is from RefSeq and is a predicted model, not a curated record.
UAGAAUUUUGGGAUAUUGUGACGGUAGUGAACAGUAAAAUACUGUUCAACAUUGUUUAAAUACGUCACCAAAGGUAAAAAAAAAAAGCAUUUUUGGAGGGAAAAAGUAGAGAGUUCUGGAUUUUUGACCUUUCGUGAUGCUUUUUUUCCGUCACGAAAAACUUGAGGCGCGUUUUUUGCGGGAAAUGACGGAGUGUUCCAGAUUGUUGUGUUUUCGUGAUGAAUUUUAUCCGUCACAAUAAGGUGACCAUUAUUUUUCGUGACGUCUAAAAAUGUUACGAAACACUUGAUGCGCAUUUUUGGCGGGAAAAGACGGAGUUUUUCAGAUUGGCGGCGGCUUUUCAUAAUGCGUACAAAACGUCACAGAAUAUAAUUUUUUGUGACGUUUUAGAAUCGUCACGAUACGAUAAGAAGAUUCCAGUCUUAUUCGUGAAAAGAAUCACCGCCUCUUCCUCCAUUGUGAAGAUCACGCUACUUGAUCGUCCGCCACUGCGAAUGCUGCUCUAUGCCACCACUAGUCGCCGCCGGUGAGGAUCGAACAUGGCUGUGGAGCUGGCUUGAGACAAUUUCCGGGUUAGGCUCAACCAUUACAAGGGAAUUCAGCCACGUCAUUUAACUUUUCUACUCAAUCACAACAAGCUACGAACUUGCAAUCACUUGCUAUCGUUGGAUCACAGCUUGGUGUCUUUCUUGACAAGAGAGUUUUGGACCUUAGAGUUUUCCAACUUCGGACUGCCGUCUAGUUGUAUCGGUUGGUCUUCUUAGAAUCUUUGGUCGUGAAGUUGCUGAGCUUCCUAUAAUUGCCACAGGUAGAAAACAUAAGGGCUGACCACCACUACUCUUCGUCAAUCUUUGGGACUACUUCGUCAGACACACUACUUUGAAGUAUCUAUUUUGUCAUACAAGAAAUUCUUGGUUGGCUUCGUAGCGCAACGCAUAUGUGGAGCAAUCUUCGCACUGGAAUGAGAAAUUGUAAGGGUUUGAAAUGCUUGUCGAACUACGUCUAGGUGAGCUGAACCAUGUUGUGGCCGUUUCCAUCAAAAUUCCAUCAUAAUAAAGGUCUUUCACGACCCCCAAGACGUCGACAAUUAGGAUUAGGAGUGCAACUAAUCGAUGGAUGAGCUUUGUUGUCGGGGUUGGUGUGUAGGGAACAUGUUUAAUUCUGUAAUUUUGUAAUUUGUGUUUGAGAA